GUAAAUUGGAGGAACUAUAUGUAAAUAUAGAAAUUUCAAGGACUAAACUGUUAAGUUGCAAAAAGAAAAAAAUAAAGAAAACCGAAAAUUUCGGUUUUAUCCCACCGCCUCCGACGCUCUAGAGAGGAGCGGUGGGGCGUGGGGAGAAGAAGAGAGGAAGAAGAGGGAGAAGAGAAGAAGAAAAAGAAGAAGAAGAAGAGAGGGAAGAGGGAGAGGAAAGAGAGAUAGCUGCAGCUAGGGCUGCAGCACCUCUGUUUCGUGUAGGAGGAAACAUAUGAGUUCAUGUGUGGGGUCAUCGGGGAGGAGAAGGGAAUAAGAGGAGAAGAAGAGAAGCAGAGGAAGAAGAAGAAGAAGAAAUGAGGAGGUGGCUGCGGCAAGGGCUGCAGCGAGGAGCUGUGGGGCGUUAGGGAGGAGAAAGGAAGAAGAGGAGAAGAAGAAAAGAAGAAGAAGAGGGAAAAGAAGAGAGGAGGAAGAAGAGGGAGAAGAGAAGAAUAGAAGAAGAAGAAAAAGAGAGGGAAGUGGGAGAGGAGCGAGAGGUGGCAGCA
Molecule: long non-coding RNA, 545 nt
Filed under: Musa acuminata (dwarf banana)
Lineage: Eukaryota; Viridiplantae; Streptophyta; Magnoliopsida; Zingiberales; Musaceae
Description: long non-coding RNA (MACU_LNC006927)
Source: RNAcentral